RNAcentral lists this transfer RNA (71 nucleotides) under Marmota monax (woodchuck). Its description in RNAcentral is "tRNA.Ala". It matches the Rfam family "tRNA". Rfam says of the family: Transfer RNA (tRNA) molecules are approximately 80 nucleotides in length. Their secondary structure includes four short double-helical elements and three loops (D, anti-codon, and T loops). Lineage: Eukaryota; Metazoa; Chordata; Mammalia; Rodentia; Sciuridae. The record is from RNAcentral.
GGGGUUGUGGCUCAGUGGUACAGUGCUCGCCUAGCAUGCGUGAGGUGCUGGGUUCAAUCCUCAGCACCACA